GAUGAAGAACGUAGUGAAAUGCGAUAAGUAAUGCGAAUUGCAGAAUUUCCGUGAGUCAUCGAAUCUUUGAACGCACAUUGCGCCCGCCAGUAUUCUGGCGGGCAUGCCUGUUCGAGCGUCAUUACAACCCUCAGGCCCCCGGGCCUGGCGUUGGGGAUCGGCGGAGCCCCCCGUGGGCACACGCCGUCCCCCAAAUACAGUGGCGGUCCCGCCGCAGCUUCCAUCGCGUAGUAGCUAACACCUCGCGACUGGAGAGCGGCGCGGCCACGCCGUAAAACACCCAACUCUUCUGAAGUUGACCUCGAAUCAGGUAGGAAUACCCGCUGAACUUAAGCAUAUCAAUAAGCGGAGGA
This 353-nucleotide unclassified non-coding RNA is filed under the name soil metagenome. Its description in RNAcentral is "partial contains 5.8S ribosomal RNA, internal transcribed spacer 2, and large subunit ribosomal RNA". The stretch from base 1 to 121 matches the Rfam family "5.8S ribosomal RNA", at positions 35 to 154 of the family's 154-position model. The record is from RNAcentral.